CAAUAGCGUAUAUUUAAGUUGCUGCAGUUAAAAAGCUCGUAGUUGGAUUUCGGGUGGGAAUGGCCGGUCCGCCGUUUCGGUGUGCACUUGCUACGCCCACCUUGCUGCCGGGGACGUGCUCUUGAGUUCACGCUCGGGACACGGAGUCGGCGAGGUUACUUUGAGUAAAUUAGAGUGUUCAAAGCAGGCCUACGCUCUGAAUACAUUAGCAUGGAAUAACACGAUAGGACUCUGGCCUAUCUUGUUGGUCUGUAGGACCGGAGUAAUGAUUAAGGGGGACAGUCGGGGGCAUUCGUAUUUCAUUGUCAGAGGUGAAAUUCUUGGAUUUAUGAAAGACGAACUACUGCGAAAGCAUUUGCCAAGGAUGUUUUCAUUAA
This 377-nucleotide ribosomal RNA is filed under the name uncultured eukaryote. Its description in RNAcentral is "partial 18S ribosomal RNA". It matches the Rfam family "Eukaryotic small subunit ribosomal RNA", at positions 592 to 976 of the family's 1831-position model. The record is from RNAcentral.